AAUACAAGAUAACAAAAGUGGCAAACGAGCGAGUAACGCGUACUUAAUCUGCCCAAAAGCUGAGAACAACUAUAGAGAUGUAGCUAAUUCUCAAUAUGCUCACGAUGGUGAAACUCCAAUGUGAGGAAAGAUUUAUCGCUUUUGGAGGAGGGUGCGUCCUAUCAGGUAGUUGGUGAGGUAAUGGCUUACCAAGCCUUUGACGGGUAGCCGGUCUGAGAUGAUGUCCGGCCGCGAUGGAACUGAGAUACGGUCCAUACUCC
RNAcentral lists this ribosomal RNA (260 nucleotides) under unidentified marine bacterioplankton. RNAcentral describes it as "partial 16S ribosomal RNA". It matches the Rfam family "Bacterial small subunit ribosomal RNA", at positions 78 to 339 of the family's 1533-position model. The record is from RNAcentral.